GUAGGUGAACCUGCGGAAGGAUCAUUAACAAAUUCAAACACACUUGUUUCCCUCUGAAGGAAGUGCAAACCUUCUUCAGAGGUGUACACACACACACUUUUGAUUGACGACACACCAAUUGAUACCAUUCAAGGUUAAUCGUAGACAACUUUUAACAAUGGAUCUCUUGGCUCUUGCAUCGAUGAAGAACGCAGCAUCUGACUGACUUCAGUAC
RNAcentral lists this unclassified non-coding RNA (214 nucleotides) under plant metagenome. Its description in RNAcentral is "partial contains small subunit ribosomal RNA, internal transcribed spacer 1, and 5.8S ribosomal RNA". The stretch from base 147 to 214 matches the Rfam family "5.8S ribosomal RNA", at positions 1 to 56 of the family's 154-position model. The record is from RNAcentral.